Molecule: ribosomal RNA, 279 nt
Filed under: uncultured bacterium
Lineage: Bacteria
Description: partial 16S ribosomal RNA
Rfam family: Bacterial small subunit ribosomal RNA
Source: RNAcentral
UGCCAGCAGCCGCGGUAAUACGGAGGGAGCGAGCGUUAAUCGGAAUUACUGGGCGUAAAGCGCACGUAGGUUGAUAUUCAAGUCGGAUGUGGAAGCCCUGGGCUUAACCUAGGAACUGCAUCCGAUACUGGGUAUCUAGAGUAUGGUAGAGGGAAGUGGAAUUUCCGGUGUAGCGGUGAAAUGCGUAGAUAUCGGAAAGAACACCAGUGGCGAAGGCGGCUGCCUGGCUCAAUACUGACACUGAGGUGCGAAAGCGUGGGGAGCAAACAGGAUUAGAUA